UCCACAAAUGGACAUCAUGUAGUCGGCAGCAUCAAUCUUAAACAUCUCCCUCAGGUUCCUGAAGACCAUCGGACAGUAAUCUUUCCACUUAAAGUCUUCUGAUUGAUGAGGCGGAGUCAACUGGGAACCUUCUUUAGGGAAGUUCAUCCAAAAGCUUGCUCGUGGACCAAAGUCUGAACUCCUGACUUCCCGCCUCUGUAUGGGUGUAAUUUUUCCCACAGUGUAUCUGACCACAUUCUAAUGUAUG
This 247-nucleotide unclassified non-coding RNA is filed under the name Hevea brasiliensis (rubber tree). The record is from RNAcentral. Lineage: Eukaryota; Viridiplantae; Streptophyta; Magnoliopsida; Malpighiales; Euphorbiaceae.